ACUAAGCCAAAGUAAUUACUCGAAAGAGGCUCGACAAGACAAAGCCGGAUGCAGAGGUCCUUCAUGGCCGUCUCUGCCAUCCUGGACAACUCCAUGAGUGGCUUAAUCUGCUAGACGAGAAGUGGGUUGGGCUUGGGAGUCUGAAACAAUGCCAAGAAAAGCCUCUUCUCGGCGUCCCCGUCUUGGGUCGUGUAGUGCUUGGUCGCGUGUGCUACACUCUGUAGGAGGUCCGUAAACGAGCCCGGGAAAUGCCAUAGCCGUGUAAGAAACGGAAACCUGUUUCUACCAAAGGCACAUUGCAGAAAUUAUGGCUUACCAUCCGUAAUCUUCUUGGCUUGGCGUACUUCUUCUUCAAAAAAUCGCCUCUCUACCCGCUCUAAUUUGAGCUCGGAGGACAACUUGGAAAGCUCAGCUGCUUGUUCUUUGGAAUUUUUUCCAAGGCCUCGCUCUUAGCGCUUGCAUCUUGAAGGACCUAAUGGACCUCAGCCACUCUAUCCUUGUGCCCACCUCUCUCAACCUUCAAUGAGCAUAGCAUGGUGUUUGUCUGCUCGGCCACCAUCUUAUGAGCAGCGGCCUCCUGCUUGGCCUUAUCCAGUUCGGCCUUGAGUUUCUCAAACUCCACGUCCAUAGUUGCUGACAUAAUCGAAAUCAAGAUGUCAUAUACCAAAGCCAGACAAUACGAAACUAUUAAGUACAACCAGAU
This 703-nucleotide long non-coding RNA is filed under the name Hordeum vulgare. RNAcentral's name for it is "long non-coding RNA (HVUL_LNC011999)". The record is from RNAcentral. Lineage: Eukaryota; Viridiplantae; Streptophyta; Magnoliopsida; Poales; Poaceae.